GACCAGCCGAAUGAUCGGCCAGCCGCCUG
This 29-nucleotide small RNA is filed under the name Bombyx mori (domestic silkworm). RNAcentral's name for it is "ovarian small RNA-15450". Lineage: Eukaryota; Metazoa; Arthropoda; Insecta; Lepidoptera; Bombycidae. The record is from RNAcentral.